This 490-nucleotide ribosomal RNA is filed under the name uncultured bacterium. Its description in RNAcentral is "partial 16S ribosomal RNA". It matches the Rfam family "Bacterial small subunit ribosomal RNA", at positions 28 to 507 of the family's 1533-position model. The record is from RNAcentral.
GAUGAACGCUAGCUACAGGCUUAACACAUGCAAGUCGAGGGGCAGCAUGGUCUUAGCUUGCUAAGGCCGAUGGCGACCGGCGCACGGGUGAGUAACACGUAUCCAACCUGCCGUCUACUCUUGGACAGCCUUCUGAAAGGAAGAUUAAUACAAGAUGGCAUCAUGAGUCCGCAUGUUCACAUGAUUAAAGGUAUUCCGGUAGACGAUGGGGAUGCGUUCCAUUAGAUAGUAGGCGGGGUAGCGGCCCACCUAGUCUUCGAUGGAUAGGGGUUCUGAGAGGAAGGUCCCCCACAUUGGAACUGAGACACGGUCCAAACUCCUACGGGAGGCAGCAGUGAGGAAUAUUGGUCAAUGGGCGAGAGCCUGAACCAGCCAAGUAGCGUGAAGGAUGACUGCCCUAUGGGUUGUAAACUUCUUUUAUAAAGGAAUAAAGUCGGGUAUGGAUACCCGUUUGCAUGUACUUUAUGAAUAAGGAUCGGCUAACUCCGUG